CCUACGGGAUGCACCAGUGGGGAAUAUUGCACAAUGGGCGCAAGCCUGAUGCAGCCAUGCCGCGUGUAUGAAGAAGGCCUUAGGGUUGUAAAGUACUUUCAGUUGGGAGGAAGGCGUUGAUGCUAAUAUCAUCAACGAUUGACGUUACCAACAGAAGAAGCACCGGCUAACUCCGUGCCAGCAGCCGCGGUAAUACGGAGGGCGCAAGCGUUAAUCGGAAUUACUGGGCGUAAAGCGCACGCAGGCGGUCUGUCAAGUCGGAUGUGAAAUCCCCGGGCUCAACCUGGGAACUGCAUUCGAAACUGGCAGGCUAGAGUCUUGUAGAGGGGGGUAGAAUUCCAGGUGUAGCGGUGAAAUGCGUAGAGAUCUGGAGGAAUACCGGUGGCGAAGGCGGCUUACUGGUCUGCAACUGACGCUGAGGCGCGAAAGCGUGGGGAGCAAACAGGAUUAGAUACCCCGGUAGUC
Molecule: ribosomal RNA, 465 nt
Filed under: uncultured bacterium
Lineage: Bacteria
Description: bacterial SSU rRNA
Rfam family: Bacterial small subunit ribosomal RNA
Source: RNAcentral